AGAGGUCUUUUAUGAUGUGAAAGGCGAAGUCGGGGCAAGAAAGUCGUCCCAUCUGGUGUCGCUGAUGGAGACGGUUGGAAGCUGUUGUGGUGGUGCUCGGCCAGCGCUAUGACAAGGACACGAGCAGCAUCCAGACAGCGACGCAGGAGGAGGAGGAGGAGGCAGAACAGCAGCUGUGGAUAGAAAUGAGGACAUGGCUUCCUGCCACCAUCCAUAAUCCACAGUGAUCUGCAACAUCAUCCAUCCUGAAAUCAGACAUCAUCUGCAUAGAUUAUUGGCUCCUUACUUCCUCUGUUGCUUUUUUAGACUUUACUGCCGUGUCUAUAGCAAGAUAAACUAGUUUCCAACUAAAAGCAGGUUUUACUUGAUUAUCGGUGCACAGAGCUGUGCAUGUGUUCUGUUUUGACUCUAUUGUGCUUUGCUGCUCCUCCUCCACACAGCUGACCUCCAGAUUGUUAAAAGCGAGCGCAUGAGACAAUUGUCACACAGCGGAGUCUAUUUUCCGGGAGGGCGGCUUUGGUUUUCUAACCAAACGCUGCGACACAAAAACCAACAGGACAGCGGUCACCGAGGUCAGCCAGAACCGUCCUACAACUGUGUGAUGGGCAAAAGUGGAAAUUUCCAUCCUGAAGCAGCUGUGGGUCUGAAUCAUCGAGGAGCAGCUUCAACAAGGAAUUCAUCUGCAGGACUGCAUGGAGGACAGAAAUAGCCGCGGGGGCUUCCUAUCAGAGAGGAAAACCAAUUUAUGUAAAGGACAUGCUGGGCGGGGCCACGGUCCAGGAGGACUCCCUCGCUCAUUAUCCACCACACCUGCCCCGCAUCGCAAUCAGUGCUGCUUUGAAGCUGGCUUCUCCCCGUGAUGCGGCGCCAGAGGAUUCACUCCCCUGCUAGCGAGCCUCCUCAGCCUGUCGUCCUGCCCAGCCAUCUCGAGGCAACUACCACCACCAGCAGCCCUCCAGGUUUCCCACCUCUGGAUCCAAGCCUUCAUGAGCACCCUCUUCCCCGGAACAUGGAUUCACCCCCCAGCACUGGAGCACUUCACCGGAGCCCCCUAAGCCUUCUCACCUCCCCUCACCAAGUCCAGCCUGCACCAGCACUUCCCCCUCCUGCUUCCUUGGUGUCCUCACUCCUUCCCCGAUUAAAAACCCUCUUUUAACCACCCA
Molecule: long non-coding RNA, 1163 nt
Organism: Stegastes partitus (bicolor damselfish)
Lineage: Eukaryota; Metazoa; Chordata; Actinopteri; Pomacentridae
Exons: 4
Source: RefSeq, a predicted model, not a curated record